AUGUGUGAUGGAAACAAAACUUACAGUGCUCUGUGUGACUUGGGCUCAAGUGUUAGUGUGUUACCACAUUCAUUUAGCAAAAGGAUGUUCUUGGGAGAAUUAAAUCCAACAGCCAUAACUCUUCAGUUAGCCGACAGAACAUAUAGGCAACCUGUUGGAAUUAUUAAGGAUGUUCCAAUCAAAAUUGGGAAGUUUGCUUAUCCGGUUGACUUUGUAGUGCUAGAUAUGGAGGACAAGAGUGAGGCUACGAUUCUUGGAAGACCAUUUUUGGCCACAACUGGUGCACUUAUUGAUGUCCAAGAAGCUAAAUUGAGCCUGAGGUUCGGAAAUGAAAAGGUGGAGUUUGACAUGAAG
Molecule: ribosomal RNA, 354 nt
Filed under: Triticum aestivum (bread wheat)
Lineage: Eukaryota; Viridiplantae; Streptophyta; Magnoliopsida; Poales; Poaceae
Description: partial small subunit ribosomal RNA
Source: RNAcentral